UGAGGAAUUGUUCGCAAUGGGCGCAAGCCUGACGACGCAAUGCCGCGUGGAGGAUGAAGGACCUCGGUUCGUAAACUCCUUUCGAUCGGGACGAAUACCCUUAACCUAAUACGUUAAGGUUUGACGGUACCGGAAUAAGAAGCCCCGGCUAACUCUGUGCCAGCAGCCGCGGUAAUACAGGGGGGGCGAGCGUUGUUCGGAAUUACUGGGCGUAAAGGGCGCGUAGGCGGCCCAUUUAGUCGGACGUGAAAUCCCCGAGCUUAACUCGGGAACUGCGUCCGAUACUGGUGGGCUUGAAUCCGGGAGAGGGAUGUGGAAUUCCAGGUGUAGCGGUGAAAUGCGUAGAUAUCUGGGGGAACACCGGUGGCGAAGGCGACAUCCUGGACCGGUAUUGACGCUGAGGCGCGAAAGCCAGGGUAGCAAACGGG
Molecule: ribosomal RNA, 428 nt
Filed under: uncultured bacterium
Lineage: Bacteria
Description: bacterial SSU rRNA
Rfam family: Bacterial small subunit ribosomal RNA
Source: RNAcentral